GACGAACGCUGGCGGCGUGCUUAACACAUGCAAGUCGGACGGACAGGCCCUGCUUUUGUGGGGUGCUCGAGUGGCGAACGGGUGAGUAACACGUGAGUAACCUGUCCCUGUCUUUGGGAUAACUUCAGGAAACUGGGGCUAAUACCGGAUAGGAGCUCCUGCUGCAUGGUGGGGGUUGGAAAGUUUCGGCGGUUGGGGAUGGACUCGAGGCUUAUCAGCUUGUUGGUGGGGUAGUGGCUUACCAAGGCUUCGACGGGUAGCCGGCCUGAGAGGGUGGCCAGCCACAAUGGGACUGAGAGACGGACCAGACGCCUACGGGAGGCAGCAGGGGGGAGUAUGACACAGUAGGCGGGAGCCUGAUACGGCAGCGCCGCGAGCGGGAUGCCGUCCUACGGGGUGUAAACCGCUGUCGCCGGUGACAAAGCGUGAGUGACGGUAAUGGGUAAAGAAGCACCGGCUAACUACGUG
RNAcentral lists this ribosomal RNA (468 nucleotides) under uncultured bacterium. Its description in RNAcentral is "partial 16S ribosomal RNA". It matches the Rfam family "Bacterial small subunit ribosomal RNA", at positions 28 to 507 of the family's 1533-position model. The record is from RNAcentral.